GACGAACGCUGGCGGCGUGCUUAACACAUGCAAGUCGAACGGAAAGGCCCUGCUUGCAGGGUACUCGAGUGGCGAACGGGUGAGUAACACGUGGGUGAUCUGCCCUGCACUUCGGGAUAAGCCUGGGAAACUGGGUCUAAUACCGGAUAGGAGCCAUUUUGAGUGGGAUGGUUGGAAAGUUUUUUCGGUGUAGGAUGAGCUCGCGGCCUAUCAGCUUGUUGGUGGGGUAAUGGCCUACCAAGGCGGCGACGGGUAGCCGGCCUGAGAGGGUGGACGGCCACAUUGGGACUGAGAUACGGCCCAGACUCCUACGGGAGGCAGCAGUGGGGAAUAUUGCACAAUGGGCGCAAGCCUGAUGCAGCGACGCCGCGUGGGGGAUGACGGCCUUCGGGUUGUAAACUCCUUUCGCUAGGGACGAAGCUUUUUGUGACGGUACCUAGAUAAGAAGCACCGGCUAACUACGUG
This 465-nucleotide ribosomal RNA is filed under the name uncultured bacterium. Its description in RNAcentral is "partial 16S ribosomal RNA". It matches the Rfam family "Bacterial small subunit ribosomal RNA", at positions 28 to 507 of the family's 1533-position model. The record is from RNAcentral.